GACGAACGCUGGCGGCGUGCUUAACACAUGCAAGUCGAACGGAAAGGCCUGCUUUCCCUUGUGGAUUGCGGGUACUCGAGUGGCGAACGGGUGAGUAACACGUGAGUGAUCUGCCCCCAACUUGUGUAUAAGCCUGGGGAACUGGGUCUAAUUCCCGAUAGGACUGCAGUGUGGUGCCUGUGGUGGAAAACGAUUUUCUAGUGGUUGGGGAUGAGCUCGCGGCCUAUCAGCUUGUUGGUGGGGUAAUGGCCUACCAAGGCGGCGACGGGUAGCCGGCCUGAGAGGGUGGACGGCCACAGUGGGACUGAGAGACGGCACAGGCACCUACGGGAGGCAGCAGUGGGGAAUAUUGCAAAAUGGGGGGAAGCCUGAUGAAGCGACGCAGCGUGGGGGAUGACGGGCUUCGGGUUGUAAACUCCUUUCGACCGCGAGGAAGCCACCUGGUUGGGAGGGUGGUGACGGUAGUGGUAGAAGAAGCACCGGCUAACUACGUG
RNAcentral lists this ribosomal RNA (494 nucleotides) under uncultured bacterium. Its description in RNAcentral is "partial 16S ribosomal RNA". It matches the Rfam family "Bacterial small subunit ribosomal RNA", at positions 28 to 507 of the family's 1533-position model. The record is from RNAcentral.